This 253-nucleotide ribosomal RNA is filed under the name uncultured bacterium. RNAcentral describes it as "partial 16S ribosomal RNA". It matches the Rfam family "Bacterial small subunit ribosomal RNA", at positions 524 to 776 of the family's 1533-position model. The record is from RNAcentral.
UACAGAGGGUGCGAGCGUUGUCCGGAAUCACUGGGCGUAAAGGGCGCGUAGGCGGCCUGAUAAGUCGGGGGUGAAAUCCUGUGGCUUAACCACAGGGCUGCCUCCGAGACUGUCGGGCUCGAGCACAGUAGAGGCAGGUGGAAUUCCCGGUGUAGCGGUGGAAUGCGUAGAGAUCGGGAAGAACAUCGGUGGCGAAGGCGGGUCUCUGGGCAGUAACUGACGCUGAGGAGCGAAAGCGUGGGGAGCGAACAGG